RNAcentral lists this ribosomal RNA (255 nucleotides) under uncultured bacterium. Its description in RNAcentral is "partial 16S ribosomal RNA". It matches the Rfam family "Bacterial small subunit ribosomal RNA", at positions 524 to 776 of the family's 1533-position model. The record is from RNAcentral.
UACGUAGGGCGCAAGCGUUUGUCCGGAAUUAUUGGGCGUAAAGAGCUCGUAGGUGGUUUGUCGCGUUGUUCGUGAAAUCUCACGGCUUAACUGUGAGCGUGCGGGCGAUACGGGCAGACUUGAGUACUGCAGGGGAGACUGGAAUUCCUGGUGUAGCGGUGGAAUGCGCAGAUAUCAGGAGGAACACCGGUGGCGAAGGCGGGUCUCUGGGCAGUAACUGACGCUGAGGAGCGAAAGCGUGGGGGAGCGAACAGG